UGAAGAGUUUGAUCAUGGCUCAGAUUGAACGCUGGCGGCAGGCCUAACACAUGCAAGUCGAACGGUAACAGGAAGCAGCUUGCUGCUUCGCUGACGAGUGGCGGACGGGUGAGUAAUGUCUGGGAAACUGCCUGAUGGAGGGGGAUAACUACUGGAAACGGUGGCUAAUACCGCAUAACGUCGCAAGACCAAAGAGGGGGACCUUCGGGCCUCUUGCCAUCAGAUGUGCCCAGAUGGGAUUAGCUAGUUGGUGAGGUAACGGCUCACCAAGGCGACGAUCCCUAGCUGGUCUGAGAGGAUGACCAGCCACACUGGAACUGAGACACGGUCCAGACUCCUACGGGAGGCAGCAGUGGGGAAUAUUGCACAAUGGGCGCAAGCCUGAUGCAGCCAUGCCGCGUGUAUGAAGAAGGCCUUCGGGUUGUAAAGUACUUUCAGCGGGGAGGAAGGUGUUGUGGUUAAUAACCGCAGCAAUUGACGUUACCCGCAGAAGAAGCACCGGCUAACUCCGUGCCAGCAGCCGCGGUAAUACGGAGGGUGCAAGCGUUAAUCGGAAUUACUGGGCGUAAAGCGCACGCAGGCGGUCUGUCAAGUCGGAUGUGAAAUCCCCGGGCUCAACCUGGGAACUGCAUUCGAAACUGGCAGG
Molecule: ribosomal RNA, 646 nt
Filed under: Salmonella enterica
Lineage: Bacteria; Pseudomonadati; Pseudomonadota; Gammaproteobacteria; Enterobacterales; Enterobacteriaceae
Description: bacterial SSU rRNA
Rfam family: Bacterial small subunit ribosomal RNA
Source: RNAcentral